CAGCAGCCACGGUAAUACGUAGGGUGCAAGCGUUAAUCGGAAUUACUGGGCGUAAAGCGUGCGCAGGCGGUCCGCUAAGACAGAUGUGAAAUCCCCGGGCUUAACCUGGGAACUGCAUUUGUGACUGGCGAGCUAGAGUAUGGCAGAGGGGGGUAGAAUUCCACGUGUAGCAGUGAAAUGCGUAGAGAUGUGGAGGAACACCUGUGGCGAAAGCGGCUCACUGGACAAUAACUGACGCUGAUGCACGAAAGCUAGGGGAGCAAACAGGAUUAGAUACCCCAGUAGUCCCUGUCUCUUAUAC
This 301-nucleotide ribosomal RNA is filed under the name uncultured bacterium. RNAcentral describes it as "partial 16S ribosomal RNA". It matches the Rfam family "Bacterial small subunit ribosomal RNA", at positions 509 to 807 of the family's 1533-position model. The record is from RNAcentral.